AGAGGAAAUUAGGCCCAGCACCACAAAAGGCCUAAAUAUUCUCAACAGCACCGUCCAGUUCUUCUUUCUCUAUGUUGGAAGGAAUCGGAUGCAGCGGCAGUGGAUUUGUUGUUGGCGACGUUUCAGAUAAGAAAUGAGUACGAGUUUAGUCGAUCGAUAGGUUUUUACAGAGCUGCUGAUAUAAGAUGAUUCUGAAGCUCAUUUGGAAGGUGUUGCCAUGAUUGGCCUCGUUGGUGUCUUGCGGCAGCUCGACAACUUCUUAGAAUUGCUCAUUCUAUAAUUCUCUCGUUCAAUUUACCAAUCAAAAAAUCCUACACAAAGACAUGGCUCUUCACGCUCUGGUUAUAAAAAGUUCUUCUUCUUCUUCUUGCAUUUGUCCUGCUAAUUGUGUUGUUAAUUUUUAUGUCAAGUGUGGUUGUUUAAUUAAAGCCAAGUUCGUCUUUGAUCGAAUAUGUAACAACAGUAUGAUGUUGGAGGCUCGUAAAGUGUUUGACAAAAUGUCUUAGAGGAAUGAGGUUACAUUGGCUAGUAUGAUUUUCUUGAUAUGCAUAUAACGGCGUGCUUUAGAGGCUUGCGAGAUUUUUGAAAUAAUGUUUGGAAAAGUUAAGGAUUUGAAUGAGUUUGCUUUUACUAGUGUCAGCCUUUGCAAAACUAAAUGGCCACUAUCUUACGAAAUUGUUUCUUUAUUUUA
Long non-coding RNA from Mercurialis annua (annual mercury), 691 nucleotides. RefSeq lists it as uncharacterized. The record is from RefSeq and is a predicted model, not a curated record. Lineage: Eukaryota; Viridiplantae; Streptophyta; Magnoliopsida; Malpighiales; Euphorbiaceae. The transcript is spliced from 2 exons.